GCGAGAGUGGCGGAACGGAAGACGCGCUGGACUUAGGAUCCAGUGGGUGAAAGCCCGUGCGGGUUCAACUCCCGCCUCUCGCACCA
Molecule: transfer RNA, 86 nt
Filed under: Tepidimonas ignava
Lineage: Bacteria; Pseudomonadati; Pseudomonadota; Betaproteobacteria; Burkholderiales
Also listed under: 5 other names
Description: tRNA-Leu
Rfam family: tRNA
About the family: Transfer RNA (tRNA) molecules are approximately 80 nucleotides in length.
Source: RNAcentral